RNAcentral lists this ribosomal RNA (433 nucleotides) under uncultured bacterium. RNAcentral describes it as "partial 16S ribosomal RNA". It matches the Rfam family "Bacterial small subunit ribosomal RNA", at positions 29 to 507 of the family's 1533-position model. The record is from RNAcentral.
AACGAACGCUGGCGGCAUGCCUAACACAUGCAAGUCGAACGAGACCUUCGGGUCUAGUGGCGCACGGGUGCGUAACGCGUGGGAACCUGCCCGUAGGUUCGGAAUAACUCCCCGAAAGGGGUGCUAAUACCGGAUAAUGUCUUCGGACCAAAGAUUUAUCGCCUUUGGAUGGGCCCGCGUUGGAUUAGCUAGUUGGUAGGGUAAAAGCAUACCAAGGCGACGAUCCAUAGCUGGUCUGAGAGGAUGAUCAGCCACACUGGGACUGAGACACGGCCCAGACUCCUACGGGAGGCAGCAGUGGGGAAUAUUGGACAAUGGGCGAAAGCCCGAUCCAGCAAUGCCGCGUGAGUGAUGAAGGCCUUAGGGUUGUAAAGCUCUUUUACCCGGGAUGAUAAUGACAGUACCGGGAGAAUAAGCUCCGGCUAACUACGUG